UGGGUUGGAGUAUUUUUUACUCUAUAAUCACUUUUACUCUAUUUUAGAGAAAAAAAAUGGAGUAGGGAUGGAGAUGCUCUAAAACCGGAGAGUUUUAGACCGAAAUUACGAUUCUCCUUCUUAGUCCAAACAAGUUUCGAUAAAAUAAAACAUGUGACGAGUACCACGUGUCUAGAAACACAUACCAAGUGUCGCCGCAUUUAAAAAUCUGCAUCGAUUAAACUACGGUCAAUUUAUUUCUUUCUUGGUGUUUUCUUUUUUGUCAUCCUCUUAAAAAAUUUUUUUUUUGCAUUAUAUUUAAAACUUGGAAACUAAAAUACAUUCAGAUCCCGAAGGAUGACACUGAAUUUUAAUGGAAUCGGCUAUUCCAAGUACAACGCACCGGGAUCCCCAAAUGGGAUCUCUAACCAUGUGGUGUCCAAUAAUUAGCCACUUUUUAGUGUGAAGACUAUCCAUAAUAUAUCUUUCCUAUAAGAAGCCAAAUUAAGGUGACGCAAGCUUCACACAAUUUUUUUUUUUUUUUUUUUUUUUUUUAAGCUUCACACAAUUGUUUGUUCUUUGAAUCGUUGUAGCGAAGGAGACAAGACAAUGUAAGAAGUUUACAUAUAGUCCUUGUUCUUUAACCAUUUUUUCUUCUUCCUUAUUAUUUUACGUCGCUUUGAUGAGUUUGCUAUGGAGAACCUAUAGCAACACAUAUGUAGUCCAAAAAAAGAAAAACUAGCAACAUAUGGAGCUAACUAACAAUUAUUAAUUUUCUUUUUGAUCAAACCAAACUUGCAUUAAUCUUAAAUAUGUUUACACUCCAACAAAAACUAACAGUUAUUGAUAAAAACGACUAUUAUGUCAUGUAUUCAAAAGAUCGAGUUUAUUUUGAGUGUUUUAC
RNAcentral lists this long non-coding RNA (883 nucleotides) under Brassica rapa (field mustard). Its description in RNAcentral is "long non-coding RNA (BRAP_LNC004065)". The record is from RNAcentral. Lineage: Eukaryota; Viridiplantae; Streptophyta; Magnoliopsida; Brassicales; Brassicaceae.